GAUGAACGCUGGCGGCGUGCCUAAUACAUGCAAGUCGAGCGAACGGACGAGAAGCUUGCUGCUCUGAUGUUAGCGGCGGACGGGUGAGUAACACGUGGAUAACCUACCUAUAAGACUGGGAUAACUUCGGGAAACCGGAGCUAAUACCGGAGAAUAUUUUGAACCGCAUGGUUCAAAAGUGAAAUACGGUCUUGCUGUCACUUAUAGAUGGAUCCGCGCUGCAUUAGCUAGUUGGUAAGGUAACGGCUUACCAAGGCAACGAUGCAUAGCCGACCUGAGAGGGUGAUCGGCCACACUGGAACUGAGACACGCUCCAGACUCCUACGGGAGGCAGCAGUAGGGAAUCUUACGCAAUGGGCGAAAGCCUGACGGAGCAACGGCGCGUGAGUGAUGACGGUCUUCGGAUCGUAAAACUCUGUUAUUAGGGAAGAACAUAUGUGUAAGUAACUGUGCACAUCUUGACGGUACCUAGUCAGAAAGCCACGGCUAACUACGUG
This 497-nucleotide ribosomal RNA is filed under the name uncultured bacterium. Its description in RNAcentral is "partial 16S ribosomal RNA". It matches the Rfam family "Bacterial small subunit ribosomal RNA", at positions 28 to 507 of the family's 1533-position model. The record is from RNAcentral.